CCCAACAUUUCACAGUCCUUUUCUAUCCAAGAAGAGGUGUAGGGGGAGGAACGCCCUGGAAAAAAUUGUCACUCUGUGGAGAUGCGGGCUGCUGGGUUGCUAGGUU
This 106-nucleotide microRNA precursor is filed under the name Mus pahari (shrew mouse). RNAcentral's name for it is "microRNA 6337 (MGP_PahariEiJ_G0007335.1)". The record is from RNAcentral. Lineage: Eukaryota; Metazoa; Chordata; Mammalia; Rodentia; Muridae.